GAUGAACGCUGGCGGCGUGCCUAAUACAUGCAAGUCGAGCGAACAGACGAGGCUCUUGCUCCUCUGACGUUAGCGGCGGACGGGUGAGUCACACGUGGAUAACCUACCUAUAAGACUGGGAUAACUUCGGGAAACCGGAGCUAAUACCGGAUAAUAUAUUGAACCGCAUGGUUCAAUAGUGAAAGACGGUUUUGCUGUCACUUAUAGAUGGAUCCGCGCCGCAUUAGCUAGUUGGUAAGGUAACGGCUUACCAAGGCAACGAUGCGUAGCCGACCUGAGAGGGUGAUCGGCCACACUGGAACUGAGACACGGUCCAGACUCCUACGGGAGGCAGCAGUAGGGAAUCUUCCGCAAUGGGCGAAAGCCUGACGGAGCAACGCCGCGUGAGUGAUGAAGGUCUUCGGAUCGUAAAACUCUGUUAUUAGGGAAGAACAAAUGUGUAAGUAACUAUGCACGUCUUGACGGUACCUAAUCAGAAAGCCACGGCUAACUACGUG
Molecule: ribosomal RNA, 497 nt
Filed under: uncultured bacterium
Lineage: Bacteria
Description: partial 16S ribosomal RNA
Rfam family: Bacterial small subunit ribosomal RNA
Source: RNAcentral